UACGGGGGGGGCUAGCGUUGUUCGGAAUUACUGGGCGUAAAGGGCGCGUAGGCGGCUGAGCAGGUCCGGUGUGAAAUCCCUCGGCUUAACUGAGGAAUUGCGCUGGAAACCGCUCGGCUAGAGUACAGGAGAGGAGGGCGGAAUUCUCGGUGUAGCGGUGAAAUGCGUAGAUAUCGAGAAGAACACCGGUGGCGAAGGCGGCCCUCUGGACUGUCACUGACGCUGAGGCGCGAAAGCGUGGGGAGCGAACGGGAUUAGAUACCCCGGUAGUCCACGCUGUAAACGUUGGGUACUUGGUGUUGGGAGUUUGAUUCUCUCAGUGCCGUAGCAAACGCGUUAAGUACCCCGCCUGGGGAGUACGGUCGCAAGGCUGAA
Molecule: ribosomal RNA, 375 nt
Filed under: uncultured bacterium
Lineage: Bacteria
Description: bacterial SSU rRNA
Rfam family: Bacterial small subunit ribosomal RNA
Source: RNAcentral